GGUAGAGGAACUUGCUUCCUUGAGACCGGCGCACGGGUGCGUAACGCGUAUGCAAUCUACCUUGUACAGGGGGAUAGCCCAGAGAAAUUUGGAUUAAUACCCCAUAGUAUUAUUGAAUGGCAUCAUUUAAUUAUUAAAGUUCCAACGGUACAAGAUGAGCAUGCGUCCUAUUAGCUAGUUGGUGUGGUAACGGCACACCAAGGCUACGAUAGGUAGGGGUCCUGAGAGGGAGAUCCCCCACACUGGUACUGAGACACGGACCAGACUCCUACGGGAGGCAGCAGUGAGGAAUAUUGGACAAUGGGCGCAAGCCUGAUCCAGCCAUGCCGCGUGCAGGAAGAAGCAUCUAUGGUGUGUAAACUGCUUUUGUACGGGAAGAAACACUCCUACGUGUAGGAGCUUGACGGUACCGUAAGAAUAAGGAUCGGCUAACUCCGUGCCAGCAGCCGCGGUAAUACGGAGGAUCCAAGCGUUAUCCGGAAUCAUUGGGUUUAAAGGGUCCGUAGGCGGUCUAAUAAGUCAGUGGUGAAAGCCCAUCGCUUAACGAUGGAACGGCCAUUGAUACUGUUAGACUUGAAUUAUUGGGAAGUAACUAGAAUAUGUAGUGUAGCGGUGAAAUGCUUAGAUAUUACAUGGAAUACCAAUUGCGAAGGCAGGUUACUAUCAAUAUAUUGACGCUGAUGGACGAAAGCGUGGGGAGCGAACAGGAUUAGAUACCCUGGUAGUCCACGCCGUAAACGAUGGAUACUAGCUGUUCGGAGCAAUCUGAGUGGCUAAGCGAAAGUGAUAAGUAUCCCACCUGGGGAGUACGUUCGCAAGAAAUGAACUCAAAGGAAUUGACGGGGGCCCGCACAAGCGGUGG
This 862-nucleotide ribosomal RNA is filed under the name uncultured bacterium. RNAcentral describes it as "bacterial SSU rRNA". It matches the Rfam family "Bacterial small subunit ribosomal RNA", at positions 67 to 935 of the family's 1533-position model. The record is from RNAcentral.